RNAcentral lists this ribosomal RNA (890 nucleotides) under uncultured Verrucomicrobiae bacterium. RNAcentral's name for it is "bacterial SSU rRNA". It matches the Rfam family "Bacterial small subunit ribosomal RNA", at positions 53 to 929 of the family's 1533-position model. The record is from RNAcentral. Lineage: Bacteria; Pseudomonadati; Verrucomicrobiota; Verrucomicrobiia.
UAAUGCAAGUCGCAACGGGGCAGUCUUGGUAGCAAUAUCGAGGCUGUUCAGUGGCGAACGGGUGCGUAACACGUGGAUACAUUCCGGAAAGCGGGGGAUAGCCCAGGGAAACUUGGAUUAAUACCGCAUGUGGUCGAAAGACUAAAGACGGGGACCGCAAGGCCUGUCACUUUCCGAUUGGUCCGCGGCCUAUCAGCUAGUUGGCGGGGUAAAGGCCCACCAAGGCUACGACGGGUAGCUGGUCUUAGAGGACGACCAGCCACACUGGAACUGAGACACGGUCCAGACACCUACGGGUGGCAGCAGUCGAGAAUCUUUCACAAUGGGGGCAACCCUGAUGGAGCGGCGCCGCGUGGAGGAUAAGGUCUUCGGAUUGUAAACUCCUGUCAUGCGAGAACAAGGUUGCAGGGCUAACACCGCUGCAAAUUGAUGGUACCGCAAGAGGAAGAGACGGCUAACUCUGUGCCAGCAGCCGCGGUAAUACAGAGGUCUCAAGCGUUGUUCGGAAUCACUGGGCGUAAAGGGUGCGUAGGCUGCGCCGUAAGUCAGAUGUGAAAGCCCGGGGCUCAACCCCGGAAUUGCAUCCGAUACUGCGGUGCUCGAGUGCUGGAGAGGAGGCUAGAAUUCACGGUGUAGCAGUGAAAUGCGUAGAUAUCGUGAGGAAUACCAAAGGCGUAGGCAGGCCUCUGGACAGCAACUGACGCUGAGGCACGAAGGCCAGGGUAGCGAACGGGAUUAGAUACCCCGGUAGUCCUGGGCUGUAAACGGUGCACGUUUGGUGUGGGCGCAUUCGACCGCGUCCGUGCCGGAGCUAACGCGUUAAACGUUCCGCCUGGGAAGUACGGUCGCAAGAUUAAAACUCAAAGAAAUUGACGGGGGACCCGCACAAG